AUCCGUCUGAUGAGUCCCAAAGCAGGACGAAACGCGUGUCCUGGAU
This is a non-coding RNA of Schistosoma haematobium, 46 nucleotides long. The record is from Rfam. Lineage: Eukaryota; Metazoa; Platyhelminthes; Trematoda; Strigeidida; Schistosomatidae.